This is a long non-coding RNA of Cyprinus carpio carpio, 904 nucleotides long. The record is from Ensembl. Lineage: Eukaryota; Metazoa; Chordata; Actinopteri; Cypriniformes; Cyprinidae.
GUGGUGGUUAUGUUAUACCCGCGCGUAUGGUUUGGUUGUCGUUGUUAUGGAUCACGAUAACUCUUUGGCGAGUAUUGAAGUGCCAGUAAAACGUAAGUUAUAUUGCUCUUUGUACUAAGGUUUCCUUGACAUCAGAACAGAUGAUUUUGAAAACUGCACAGCGGAAUGUCGACCCCAUGUCAGUCCAGUCUUCAAUCCAUUACUUGGUUGAAGCACCUUUACAGCCUCCAGUCUUUUUGGGUAUGAUGCGGCAAGCUUUGCAGAUCACCAUUUGGCAAUUAUCUGCCAUUCUUCUCCUCAUCUCUUCACCUCUCAAGCUCUGUUAGGUUGGAUGGGGGCCAACAGACAUUUUCAGGUUUCUCCAGAAAUAUUUGACUGGGUUCAAUCCCAGGCUCUGGUUGGGCCACCCAAGGACAUUCACAGAGUUGUCCACAAGCCACUCUUGGUGUGUGCUUAGGGUCAUUGUCCUGUUAGAAGGUGAACCUUCUGCCCAGUCUAAGGUUCUGAAUGGUCUGGACUGGGUUUUCAAUAAGACUAUUUCAAUAUUUUGGUGUACUGAGCUUUUCUUCUACUCUGACGAGUCCCUCAGUCCCUGCCGCUUACAGGUUAUAAGCAGUGCCUGGUUUACUUCAAACAUGAUGCAUAGAAUUGAGGUUCAUCAGACAAGAGAAUCUUGUUUCUCACAGUCUGAGGGUCCUUUAGGUGCUUUUUGCAAAUUCUAAGUGCGUUUUCAUGUGUCUUCACUGAAGAGUAGAUUAAGUCUGGCCACACCGCCAUAAAGCCCAGAUCGGUGGAGUGUUGCAGUGAUGUUUGUCUUUCUGUAGGUUUCUCCUAUCUCCACAUAUGAUCAUGUAGUUUAACUAGAGUGACCAUCAUCACCAAGAAGGGUAUAAAUACAUAUGCA